ACCCCUAAGGCGAGGCCGAAAGGCGUAGUCGAUGGGAAACGGGUUAAUAUUCCCGUACUUGGUGUUACUGCGAAGGGGGGACGGAGAAGGCUAUGUUGGCCGGGCGACGGUUGUCCCGGUUUAAGCGUGUAGGUGUGUGUUCCAGGUAAAUCCGGUUCACUUUAACACUGAGGCGUGACGACGAGGCACUACGGUGCUGAAGCAACAAAUGCCCUGCUUCCAGGAAAAGCCUCUAAGCAUCAGGUAACAUCAAAUCGUACCCCAAACCGACACAGGUGGUCAGGUAGAGAAUACCAAGGCGCUUGAGAGAACUCGGGUGAAGGAACUAGGCAAAAUGGUGCCGUAACUUCGGGAGAAGGCACGCUGACACGUAGGUGAAGUGAUUUACUCAUGGAGCUGAAGUCAGUCGAAGAUACCAGCUGGCUGCAACUGUUUAUUAAAAACACAGCACUGUGCAAACACGAAAGUGGACGUAUACGGUGUGACGCCUGCCCGGUGCCGGAAGGUUAAUUGAUG
Molecule: ribosomal RNA, 516 nt
Filed under: Salmonella enterica
Lineage: Bacteria; Pseudomonadati; Pseudomonadota; Gammaproteobacteria; Enterobacterales; Enterobacteriaceae
Description: partial 23S ribosomal RNA
Rfam family: Bacterial large subunit ribosomal RNA
Source: RNAcentral